AGCCUGACGCAGCGACGCCGCGUGCGGGAUGGAGGCCUUCGGGUUGUAAACCGCUUUUAUCGGGGAGCAAGCGAGAGUGAGUGUACCCGUUGAAUAAGCACCGGCUAACUACGUGCCAGCAGCCGCGGUAAUAA
Molecule: ribosomal RNA, 134 nt
Filed under: Bifidobacterium pullorum
Lineage: Bacteria; Bacillati; Actinomycetota; Actinomycetes; Bifidobacteriales; Bifidobacteriaceae
Description: partial 16S ribosomal RNA
Rfam family: Bacterial small subunit ribosomal RNA
Source: RNAcentral